AUGCAAUGGAGCUGGAGAGUCAUCUUUUUGGUGGCAGUUGCUGCAAGUGUGCACUCCCAGGUUCAACUGACCCAGUCUGGGGCUGAGGUGAGGAAUCCUGGUACAUCUGUCAAGUUAUCUUGCAAAGCUUCUGGAUACACUUUCACCAGAUACUACAUGCACUGGGUGUUACAGGCCCCUGGAAAAGGCCUGGAAUGGAUGGGAAGGAUUAAUCCUAAAACUAGUAAUACAAAUUAUGCCCAGAAGUUCCAGAGCAGAGCCACCAUGACAGCAGACACAUCCUCCAACACAGCCUACAUGCAGCUGAGCAGUCUGAGUUUUGAGAAUACUGCUGUGUACUACUGUGCAAGAGACACAGUGAGGACAAGUGAGGGUGAGCACAGGCAAAAACCUCCCAGCAUGGAAAACAGAAGUUGUUGAAGUUGGUGCUCAUAACCAGCAGAGGGCGAGCUGAUCACAUGGGCACACAGAUUUCCUCCAGAAAUAGGUGCAGCUGGACAUUUAGGGCUGUUUCUUUUUCUCUUUCUUUCUUUUUUUCUUUCUUUCUUUCUUUUUUUUUUCCUGCCAGAGUAAGGAAGUUCCUUUCCAGCUGUCAGUUACUUAGAAUUUUAUAUUUUAAGUGCUGUGACUACCGGCCA
Molecule: non-coding RNA, 638 nt
Organism: Erinaceus europaeus (western European hedgehog)
Lineage: Eukaryota; Metazoa; Chordata; Mammalia; Eulipotyphla; Erinaceidae
Source: the annotation of a RefSeq genome assembly